RNAcentral lists this transfer RNA (72 nucleotides) under Camelus bactrianus (Bactrian camel). It matches the Rfam family "tRNA". Rfam says of the family: Transfer RNA (tRNA) molecules are approximately 80 nucleotides in length. Their secondary structure includes four short double-helical elements and three loops (D, anti-codon, and T loops). RNAcentral also lists the same sequence under 2 other names. Lineage: Eukaryota; Metazoa; Chordata; Mammalia; Artiodactyla; Camelidae. The record is from Rfam by way of RNAcentral.
GAGGGCAUAGCUCAGUGGUAGAGUGUGUGCUUAGCAUGCAUGAGGUCCCUGGUUCAAUCCCCAGUACCUCUA